This 106-nucleotide small nucleolar RNA is filed under the name Theobroma cacao (cacao). RNAcentral describes it as "Plant small nucleolar RNA R71". It matches the Rfam family "Plant small nucleolar RNA R71". From Rfam's summary of the family: R71 is a member of the C/D box family of snoRNAs containing the C (UGAUGA) and D (CUGA) box motifs. Multiple nearly identical copies of this snoRNA have been identified in Arabidopsis, and it is thought to function as a 2'-O-ribose methylation guide for 18S ribosomal RNA. The record is from Rfam by way of RNAcentral. Lineage: Eukaryota; Viridiplantae; Streptophyta; Magnoliopsida; Malvales; Malvaceae.
AAACCAUGAUGAGGGCAAUGUCUAAGUAAUUCUUUGUAUCUUUCUCGAGCUUCGUACAAUGAUUCUAAAUCUUUCUACAUGAAUGAUGUAAUAUCAUUCCUCGUUU